RNAcentral lists this ribosomal RNA (253 nucleotides) under uncultured bacterium. RNAcentral's name for it is "partial 16S ribosomal RNA". It matches the Rfam family "Bacterial small subunit ribosomal RNA", at positions 524 to 776 of the family's 1533-position model. The record is from RNAcentral.
UACGGAGGGAGCUAGCGUUGUUCGGAAUUACUGGGCGUAAAGCGUGCGUAGGCGGCUGUUCAAGUCAGAGGUGAAAGCCUGGAGCUCAACUCCAGAACUGCCUUUGAAACUAGAUAGCUAGAAUCAUGGAGAGGUUAGUGGAAUUCCGAGUGUAGAGGUGAAAUUCGUAGAUAUUCGGAAGAACACCAGUGGCGAAGGCGACUCGCUGGACAAGUAUUGACGCUGAGGUGCGAAAGCGUGGGGAGCAAACAGG